This 74-nucleotide transfer RNA is filed under the name Thermoflexales bacterium. Its description in RNAcentral is "tRNA-Met". It matches the Rfam family "tRNA". From Rfam's summary of the family: Transfer RNA (tRNA) molecules are approximately 80 nucleotides in length. Their secondary structure includes four short double-helical elements and three loops (D, anti-codon, and T loops). Lineage: Bacteria; Bacillati; Chloroflexota; Thermoflexia; Thermoflexales. The record is from RNAcentral.
GGGCCCAUAGCUCAAAGGUUAGAGCAGCGCUCUCAUAAAGCGUUGGUUGCCGGUUCGACCCCAGCUGGGCCCAC